RNAcentral lists this ribosomal RNA (484 nucleotides) under uncultured bacterium. RNAcentral's name for it is "partial 16S ribosomal RNA". It matches the Rfam family "Bacterial small subunit ribosomal RNA", at positions 30 to 507 of the family's 1533-position model. The record is from RNAcentral.
AUUGAACGCUGGCGGCAGGCCUAACACAUGCAAGUCGAGCGGAUGAAGGGAGCUUGCUCCUGGAUUCAGCGGCGGACGGGUGAGUAAUGCCUAGGAAUCUGCCUGGUAGUGGGGGAUAACGUCCGGAAACGGGCGCUAAUACCGCAUACGUCCUGAGGGAGAAAGUGGGGGAUCUUCGGACCUCACGCUAUCAGAUGAGCCUAGGUCGGAUUAGCUAGUUGGUGGGGUAAAGGCCUACCAAGGCGACGAUCCGUAACUGGUCUGAGAGGAUGAUCAGUCACACUGGAACUGAGACACGGUCCAGACUCCUACGUGAGGCAGCAGUGGGGAAUAUUGGACAAUGGGCGAAAGCCUGAUCCAGCCAUGCCGCGUGUGUGAAGAAGGUCUUCGGAUUGUAAAGCACUUUAAGUUGGGAGGAAGGGCAGUAAGUUAAUACCUUGCUGUUUUGACGUUACCAACAGAAUAAGCACCGGCUAACUUCGUG